This 1488-nucleotide long non-coding RNA is filed under the name Parus major (Great Tit). RNAcentral describes it as "lncRNA (ENSPMJG00000013624.1)". The record is from RNAcentral. Lineage: Eukaryota; Metazoa; Chordata; Aves; Passeriformes; Paridae.
CACAUGUGUAGCCACUGUAGUCCUGUUUGCAUUCUUCACAAAGGGUGACACUUCUGAGCAUUUCCUUGGAUUGUGGGUGACCUUUUUACCAACCUCAGCCUGCUGGAGAAACGUAACAUCUAAGCUCUUGUGUUUUCCUAAAAAAAUUAUUUCCAUCAGCUCAAUGGACAGUAACACUGCUUUCCAUCUUUUGUGAAAAGGUAGAGAGCCUUGUCUGGCUGUUCCUUGGGGUUAGUUGGUAUGCUGAUGCAGAAAUUGUGCACAAGCAAUGCCAGAGGAUGUUUCUGGCCACAGCUGUCUAGUCAUUAAAAGAUCCAACAUUUGGAUCUUGGUAACACCCCUAGUACAUGAAGGUAUUGGGGAUUUUUUAUUAUUUUUUAAAAAAAUUAUUAAUUAAUUUAUUUAUAUUUUUAACUGUCUCUCAGUGGAAGAUGGCCUGAUGCAGUUAAACAGCCCUGGAGGAAACUUCAGCUGAGCGGGCUGGAAAUGUGUAAAGUGGUUGUGUGUGGGAGGACAGAAAGAAAUGAAAUUAAGAAAAAUUCUUCCCAGGGACUCCCACUGACUGGAGCUACCCACACAUCCCAGGGUUUGUCCUGCAUAGUUAUGAGCUGGCACUUCAAUACUGCUACUGAGGUUUUCCCUAGAAACUGAUGACUGGGAGCUAAUGUUAAUGGGAAUCAUUUUGGAGUAUUAAGCCAUGACUCAACUUUCUUAAAUCUAAAGGAGGCUGGGUGUAUGUGAAGAAUGAUUGCUGCUAGGAGCAGGAUUGAAAUGCAAGUACUUUAUUAAAUAUAUAUUUAAAUGCUUCAUAAAGUGCUUAAUAGAAUAUAUACUUAUUAAAGUAGAUAGUGAAAGAGAAUAGUCUCACCUGAAGUAGUUAGGUAGGACUAGAAAUCUCGGCUGUGUCUUGGAUGUCCUUCAAACUGCUGCAAAGAGAAAGUCUCAUCUCAGAGGAAGUGGGUUAGAGGACAGUUAUUGUCCACAUUUACCCUACACUCUUUAGGCACUUAUUUGAGUAUUUCUGUGCACUCUCUGCAGGAGGGGAAGAAUGGGAGAAUUCCAGGGGAUAAUCCUGGCUUUAUCCUAUCUUUCAAGUAGUUUAGUCUACGACUAGAGUUACUCCCUGGAGGGACCUCUCUUGUUUCACUGACUUUUGAAGAAGUGUUAAAUUAAUUGUGUGUGCCUAACAUAGUUGGGUAAAUUGAGGCCUAAACUAUGGGAUUUCCCUGCUGUUGAACUGGUGCAAUUGUGCCAUGCUGUGUUGUAGCUGCUGAACUACUCCUGGUUUUACAAACCCUCUCAGAACCUUGGUGGUUGUGAUGCCUCUGUGUCAGAAGCUUUCUGGAGCUCUUGGCUCUCCUCAGUCUUCCUUGCUGCUGAUGGUGGUUUUUAGCUCUGAGUGGUUUCCCCAGGGAAAAUGGGAGGGCAGAUCUCACCCAAACUCUUAGAUUUCAAAAUAAAAGGAUGUAAGUACAAGAAGUAUUAACA